This 427-nucleotide ribosomal RNA is filed under the name uncultured Neisseriaceae bacterium. RNAcentral's name for it is "bacterial SSU rRNA". It matches the Rfam family "Bacterial small subunit ribosomal RNA", at positions 355 to 774 of the family's 1533-position model. The record is from RNAcentral. Lineage: Bacteria; Pseudomonadati; Pseudomonadota; Betaproteobacteria; Neisseriales; Neisseriaceae.
UGGGGAAUUUUGGACAAUGGGCGCAAGCCUGAUCCAGCCAUGCCGCGUGUCUGAAGAAGGCCUUCGGGUUGUAAAGGACUUUUGUCAGGGAAGAAAAGGCUUUUGCUAAUACCAGGAGCUGAUGACGGUACCUGAAGAAUAAGCACCGGCUAACUACGUGCCAGCAGCCGCGGUAAUACGUAGGGUGCGAGCGUUAAUCGGAAUUACUGGGCGUAAAGCGGGCGCAGACGGUUUGUUAAGCAGGAUGUGAAAUCCCCGGGCUCAACCUGGGAACUGCGUUCUGAACUGGCAGGCUAGAGUGUGUCAGAGGGGGGUAGAAUUCCACGUGUAGCAGUGAAAUGCGUAGAGAUGUGGAGGAAUACCGAUGGCGAAGGCAGCCCCCUGGGAUAACACUGACGUUCAUGCCCGAAAGCGUGGGUAGCAAACA